UGGGGAAUAUUGCACAAUGGGGGAAACCCUGAUGCAGCAACGCCGCGUGAGUGAUGACGGCCUUCGGGUUGUAAAGCUCUGUCUUCAGGGACGAUAAUGACGGUACCUGAGGAGGAAGCCACGGCUAACCACGUGCCAGCAGCCGCGGUAAUACGUAGGUGGCGAGCGUUGUCCGGAUUUACUGGGCGUAAAGGGAGCGUAGGCGGAUUUUUAAGUGAGAUGUGAAAUACUCGGGCUUAACCUGAGUGCUGCAUUUCAAACUGGAAGUCUAGAGUGCAGGAGAGGAGAAGGGAAUUCCUAGUGUAGCGGUGAAAUGCGUAGAGAUUAGGAAGAACACCAGUGGCGAAGGCGCUUCUCUGGACUGUAACUGACGCUGAGGCUCGAAAGCGUGGGGAGCAAAC
RNAcentral lists this ribosomal RNA (401 nucleotides) under uncultured Clostridium sp. RNAcentral's name for it is "bacterial SSU rRNA". It matches the Rfam family "Bacterial small subunit ribosomal RNA", at positions 355 to 773 of the family's 1533-position model. The record is from RNAcentral. Lineage: Bacteria; Bacillati; Bacillota; Clostridia; Eubacteriales; Clostridiaceae.